RNAcentral lists this ribosomal RNA (1129 nucleotides) under Virgibacillus sp. Its description in RNAcentral is "bacterial SSU rRNA". It matches the Rfam family "Bacterial small subunit ribosomal RNA", at positions 33 to 1149 of the family's 1533-position model. Lineage: Bacteria; Bacillati; Bacillota; Bacilli; Caryophanales; Bacillaceae. The record is from RNAcentral.
CCGUGGGCGGGCUGCCUAUACAUGCAGUCGAGCGCGGGAAGCAGGCAGAUCCUCUUCGGAGGUGACGCCUGUGGAACGAGCGGCGGACGGGUGAGUAACACGUGGGCAACCUGCCUGUAAGAUUGGGAUAACCCCGGGAAACCGGGGCUAAUACCGGAUAAUACUUUUCGUUGCAUAACGAGAAGUUGAAAGGCGGCUUUUAGCUGUCACUUACAGAUGGGCCCGCGGCGCAUUAGCUAGUUGGUAAGGUAACGGCUUACCAAGGCGACGAUGCGUAGCCGACCUGAGAGGGUGAUCGGCCACACUGGGACUGAGACACGGCCCAGACUCCUACGGGAGGCAGCAGUAGGGAAUCUUCCGCAAUGGACGAAAGUCUGACGGAGCAACGCCGCGUGAGUGAUGAAGGUUUUCGGAUCGUAAAACUCUGUUGUCAGGGAAGAACAAGUGCCGUUCAAAUAGGGCGGCACCUUGACGGUACCUGACCAGAAAGCCCCGGCUAACUACGUGCCAGCAGCCGCGGUAAUACGUAGGGGGCAAGCGUUGUCCGGAAUUAUUGGGCGUAAAGCGCGCGCAGGCGGUCCUUUAAGUCUGAUGUGAAAGCCCACGGCUUAACCGUGGAGGGCCAUUGGAAACUGGAGGACUUGAGUACAGAAGAGGAGAGUGGAAUUCCACGUGUAGCGGUGAAAUGCGUAGAGAUGUGGAGGAACACCAGUGGCGAAAGCGACUCUCUGGUCUGUAACUGACGCUGAGUGCGAAAGCGUGGGGAGCGAACAGGAUUAGAUACCCUGGUAGUCCACGCCGUAACGAUGAGUGCUAGUGUUUAAGGGGUUUCCGCCCCCUUAGUGCUGAAGUUUAGCGCAUCAAGCACUCCGCCUGGGGGAGUACGCCGCAAGCUGAAACUCAAGGACUGACGGGGCCCGCACAGCGUUGAGCAUGUGUUUAAUCGAGCACGCGAGGACUAACAGUCUGACAGUCUCUGCAUCUAGAGAUAGAUGUUGCCCUCUGGACGGACUGACAGUGGUGCAUGAUGUCGUCGCUCUGGUCGUGAAAGGUUAGUCAGUUACGGCACGAAGCCACUGACUAAUUGCAGCAUAUGGAGCUGCUCACGUGACAUGAUCAGUCGUCAGAC